AGUUGCUCGGGCCAAACCACUCGCGAGGGUGGGACGGAAAGCCGCGGGUCUCUCAGAGACGGCCGGGUUGCCAAC
Non-coding RNA from Acidobacteria bacterium 13_1_40CM_4_69_4, 75 nucleotides. Lineage: Bacteria; Pseudomonadati; Acidobacteriota. The record is from Rfam.